RNAcentral lists this ribosomal RNA (472 nucleotides) under uncultured bacterium. RNAcentral describes it as "bacterial SSU rRNA". It matches the Rfam family "Bacterial small subunit ribosomal RNA", at positions 15 to 518 of the family's 1533-position model. The record is from RNAcentral.
GAUUAUGGCUCAGAACGAACGCUGGCGGCAGGUCUUAGGCAUGCAAGUCGAACGGAUGACAGAGAGCUUGCUCUCUGAAGUCAGUGGCGCACGAGUGAGUAACGCGUGGGAAACUGCCCUUCACUGGGGAAUAACGUUUGGAAACGAACGCUAAUACCGCAUACGCCCGCAAGGGGAAAGAUUUAUCGGUGAUGGAUGUGCCCGCGUUGGAUUAGCUAGUUGGUGGGGUAAUGGCCUACCAAGGCGAUGAUCCAUAGCUGGUCUGAGAGGACGAUCAGCCACGCUGGAACUGAGACACGGUCCAGACUCCUACGGGAGGCAGCAGCUAAGAAUAUUGGGCAAUGGAGGAAACUCUGACCCAGCCAAUGCCGCGUGAAUGAAGAAGGCCUUCGGGUUGUAAAGUUCCUUUAGUCAUGAAGAUGAUGACAGUAGUGACAGAAAAAGCACCGGCUAACUUCGUGCCAGCCGCUGC